UUUCACAAGUCAGUGAGAUGUUUUUUUCAUGAAAUGCUCAACAGCACCUUAUUUGUCUCAGGAGAAGAGAUCCUACUUCCUCCUGAACCCAACCUGUGUUUCCCUGUCACAGUUUUACAAAAACACAGAGACACUCAUAGACUCACAAACUACUAUACCCUGUCAAUAAAUGUCCCUUGAUAUUGUCUUCCCAUAUCAAGUAUUAUGCUAAAUUCUUCUAAUGUGUUAUAUACAACAAGCUUCACUUCAAUGAAUGUAUUUUUCUUUGAAUUUCCUGACCACUAAAAUUUUCAGAUAUGGGGAAUUGGGUCUGAAUUCACUGCCUGGACUAUGAAUUUCAAUCUUAUGCUAUGUCCUUCCUUGAAGGUCAGAAGAGGCUCCUUAAUGCUGAGAGCAGAGUAACACCAUAAAUUCCAGGACAUGUAACAGGCCCUUUUGAGGCUCAUCAAAGGCUAUCCAAGGAGAAUAAGAUCUGAAAUAACCACAGGUUUGCUUGUUUGAAUGGAAGUGAACCACCUCAAUUUAAAUGGGAGAAAAAUUUUUAAAUAAACUUCUGUAACAGAA
Long non-coding RNA from Peromyscus eremicus (cactus mouse), 564 nucleotides. RefSeq lists it as uncharacterized. NCBI's taxonomy places the organism in Eukaryota, Metazoa, Chordata, Mammalia, Rodentia, Cricetidae. The transcript has 3 exons. The record is from RefSeq and is a predicted model, not a curated record.